This 526-nucleotide ribosomal RNA is filed under the name uncultured marine bacterium. RNAcentral's name for it is "bacterial SSU rRNA". It matches the Rfam family "Bacterial small subunit ribosomal RNA", at positions 358 to 905 of the family's 1533-position model. The record is from RNAcentral.
GGAAUGUUGGACAAAAGGAGUAACCCUGAUCCACCCAGCCGCGUGAUGGAUGAACGCCCUAGGUUAAUAAAUUCUAUCGCCUGGAAAUGAAUGGCGGUAACAAGUAUAGAAACACCGAGUAACUCCGUGCCAGCAACUGCUGUAAUUCGGAGGGGGUGAGCGUUGUUCGGAAUUCCUGGGCGUAAAGCGCACAUAGGCGGAUCGGAAAGUUGGGUGGGAAAUACCUGGGCUCAACCCCGAAACUGCAUCCAUAAGUAUCGUUAUAGAUUUUGAGAGAGGUGAGAGGAGGGUGGAGAGUAGAGGUGAAAUUGGUAAAUAUUCGGAGGAACACCAGAGGAGAAGGCGGCUCACUGGCUCGAUACUGUCGUUGAGGUGCGAAAGGGGGGGGAGCAAACAGGAUUAGAUACUAUGGUAGUCCGCUCCGUAAACGAUGAAUGCCAGUCGUCGGGUAGCAUGGUAUUCGGUGCCACACCUAACGGAUUAAGCAUUCCUCCUGGGGAGUACGGGCGCAAGUUUUAAACUCAAA